GCCUGGAUAGCGCAGUUGGUUAGAGCAUGGUGCUGAUAAUGUCAAGGUUGCAGGUUCGAGCCCCCUAUGGGACA
RNAcentral lists this transfer RNA (74 nucleotides) under Podarcis lilfordi (Lilford's wall lizard). Its description in RNAcentral is "tRNA.Ile". Lineage: Eukaryota; Metazoa; Chordata; Lepidosauria; Squamata; Lacertidae. The record is from RNAcentral.